AGACUCCAGCGGCUCCCGGCCAGCGGGGACGUGGAGGUGACAUCUCUCUGACCCGCAGGACUGUGGGCGCCCUGCCGAGCGUCGCGCGGUCUUGGGGCGCCCUGCAGUGGAGCCCCUGCGGCGCAGCGCGCGGUGGGACUGGCCGGGUUCUCGCGGCGCCGAGGGCCUGUGUCUGCGCCGGUUCCUGGCAAGGGCACCUUGGCCGGGCGGCCCGCGUCCCCCGCGCUUCCCACACCCACGUGGGCGGACCCGGCCCGCAAGCUGGGCCAGCCUGCGGUUUCCGGGCACUGGGGAGUGCGCAGAGCCCCGGGCCAGCGACCGCAGCCGGGGUCCCUGGCUUCUCCUGAGCACUUUCCCCCGGACCGGUCCCUCCAGGGUGGCGGGCGGCACCCAGGGCCGGCGCUCCUCACCAACGCGCUGCAGCUACGGGCUCAGGAGGGAGCCGCAGCGUCGGAGGAGGAAAGCAUUUAAGAAUAGCACAAAGCCUUAGGCUCGAGGAAGCGUGACUGCUUACGUGUUGAAAAUAAAGGUUCUGUAAGUCCCACCGCGGGUGCAUAUUGGAAAGAAAGGGAUCAUUAGCACGCGACCCUCGCCUAGGAGUAUAUAAACCGCAGCACGACUUUCGGAUCACAAAGGCAGAGAAAAGAACACAUUGAAGGCUUUUGCUCACUUUUCCAAGUUGUUUCGUUUCGUUUUGUUUCUAAUGUGGAUGAUCAUUUAAAAUGCCUCUGGUGGCCGGGCGCGGUGACUGACGCCUGUAAUCACAGCACGUUGGGAGGCCGAGGCGGGCGGAUCACCUGAGGUCAGGAAUUCGAGACCAGCCUGGGCAAUAUGGUUAAACCCCCUCUCUACUAAAAAUAAAAAAAUUAGCUGGGCGUGGUGGCAUGUGCUUGUAGUCCCAGCUACUUGGGAGGCUGAGACAGAAGAAUCGCUUGAACCCGGGAGGCGGAAGUUGCAAUGAGCCAAGAUUGCGCCAUUGCAUUCCAGCCUGGGCAACAGAGCAAGAUCCUGUCUCCAAAAAAAAACAAAUAAAUAAAACAAAAUUCCUCUGGUAGCCGGGUGCGGUGGCUCACGCCUGUAAUCUCAGCACUUUGGGAGGCUGAGGCAGGUGGAUCACUUGAAGUCAGGAGUUUGAGACCAGCCUGGCCAAUAUAGUGAAACCUCAUCUCUACUGAAAAUACAAAAAUUAGCCAGGCGUGGUGAUGCGCGCCUGUAAUCCCAGCUACUCGGGAGGCUGAGGCGUGAGAAUCGGUUGAACCCGGGAGGUGGAGGUUGUAGUGAUCCAAGAUUGUGCCAUUGCACUCCAGCCUGGGCAACAGAGGGAGAUCCUGUCUCUAAAAUAAAAAAUAAAAGAAAUGCCUUUGGUGAACAGGAAUUCUCAACAUUAGUGACCCGCAGUGUAUUAGUGUUAAUAAUGGACAUCCCCUUUGAUUCAGCAAGCCCAUCUAGAGAUUUCCUAGGAUAGACAAGCCAGUUUGUGCAAUUUCAUGUGUACAGCAUUGUUUUUAGUAUGGAAAGAUUAGAGUUUACAUAUCCACCCAUAGGGAGAGAGUUAAAUAAAUUAUGGUGCAUCCGCUUAGUGGAUUAGUAUACAGCCAUUAGGAAUAAAGGAAUUCUAUAUGUGCUGAUAUGAAAUA
This 1637-nucleotide non-coding RNA is filed under the name Pan troglodytes (chimpanzee). The record is from RNAcentral. Lineage: Eukaryota; Metazoa; Chordata; Mammalia; Primates; Hominidae.